GGGAUAACCUUGCGAAAGUAAGACUAAUACCCAAUGAUAUCUCUAGAAGACAUCUGAAAGAGAUUAAAGAUUUAUCGGUGAUGGAUGGGGAUGCGUCUGAUUAGCUUGUUGGCGGGGUAACGGCCCACCAAGGCGACGAUCAGUAGGGGUUCUGAGAGGAAGGUCCCCCACAUUGGAACUGAGACACGGUCCAAACUCCUACGGGAGGCAGCAGUGAGGAAUAUUGGUCAAUGGACGAGAGUCUGAACCAGCCAAGUAGCGUGCAGGAUGACGGCCCUAUGGGUUGUAAACUGCUUUUAUAAGGGAAUAAAGUGAGUCUCGUGAGACUUUUUGCAUGUACCUUAUGAAUAAGGACCGGCUAAUUCCGUGCCAGCAGCCGCGGUAAUACGGAAGGUCCGGGCGUUAUCCGGAUUUAUUGGGUUUAAAGGGAGCGUAGGCCGGAGAUUAAGCGUGUUGUGAAAUGUAGACGCUCAACGUCUGCACUGCAGCGCGAACUGGUUUCCUUGAGUACGCACAAAGUGGGCGGAAUUCGUGGUGUAGCGGUGAAAUGCUUAGAUAUCACGAAGAACUCCGAUUGCGAAGGCAGCUCACUGGAGCGCAACUGACGCUGAAGCUCGAAAGUGCGGGUAUCGAACAGGAUUAGAUACCCUGGUAGUCCGCACGGUAA
RNAcentral lists this ribosomal RNA (667 nucleotides) under uncultured bacterium. Its description in RNAcentral is "bacterial SSU rRNA". It matches the Rfam family "Bacterial small subunit ribosomal RNA", at positions 140 to 805 of the family's 1533-position model. The record is from RNAcentral.